GGGCUUGUGGUUUAACGGCAUAACACUCUCUUAGCAUUUGGACGGUUUGAUGGACUGUUUAGAGCAGCAUACCUAUGUGAAUGCGGAGAGAAGUCGGGGUUCGAUUCCCUGUGAGUCCA
Non-coding RNA from Hypoxylon sp. FL1284, 119 nucleotides. Lineage: Eukaryota; Fungi; Ascomycota; Sordariomycetes; Xylariales; Hypoxylaceae. The record is from the annotation of a GenBank genome assembly.